ACGUAUGGAGCAAGCGUUAUCCGGAUUUACUGGGUGUAAAGGGAGCGUAGGCGGUCCUGCAAGUCUGAUGUGAAAGGCCGGGGCUCAACCCCGGGACUGCAUUGGAAACUGUAGGACUAGAGUGUCGGAGGGGUAAGUGGAAUUCCUAGUGUAGCGGUGAAAUGCGUAGAUAUUAGGAGGAACACCAGUGGCGAAGGCGGCUUACUGGAUGACUACUGACGCUGAGGCUCGAAAGCGUGGGGAGCAAACAG
Molecule: ribosomal RNA, 251 nt
Filed under: uncultured bacterium
Lineage: Bacteria
Description: partial 16S ribosomal RNA
Rfam family: Bacterial small subunit ribosomal RNA
Source: RNAcentral